RNAcentral lists this unclassified non-coding RNA (200 nucleotides) under rhizosphere metagenome. Its description in RNAcentral is "partial ribosomal RNA internal transcribed spacer region". The record is from RNAcentral.
GAGUUAGGGUCCCUGUGGCCCGAACCUCCAACCCUUUGUCUACAUACCUGUUGCUUUGGCGGGGCGUGGGCUUUUUUGCCCACCGUCGACCCAGGCUGGCGAGCCUCCGCCAGAGACUCAACUUAAACUCAUUUUUAAAAUUUAAAGUCUGAGUGAAAACACAAUAGCAAAAAACUUUCAACAACGGAUCUCUUGGUUCU